AUUAAGGAAUUUUGAGUUUUUGUUUGUAACGUUUGACCACUCGUCUUAUUUAAAUUUUUUUAAAAUUAUUAAUUAUUUUAUUUUUGACUUUCUUUAUUAUCUACAAUACUUUAAGCAUAACUUUUCGUUUUUUAUAUUUGCAAAAAAAAUUUAAAUAAGACGAGUGGUCAAACGUUAAAAGCAAAAACUUAAA
Oryza sativa Japonica Group (Japanese rice) is the source of this 193-nucleotide microRNA precursor. It matches the Rfam family "MIR812 microRNA precursor family". The record is from Rfam. NCBI's taxonomy places the organism in Eukaryota, Viridiplantae, Streptophyta, Magnoliopsida, Poales, Poaceae.